UCCAGACUCCUACGGGAGGCAGCAGUGAGGAAUAUUGGUCAAUGGUCGUAAGACUGAACCAGCCAAGUAGCGUGCAGGAUGACGGCCCUAUGGGUUGUAAACUGCUUUUAUGCGGGGAUAAAAUGCGUCACGUGUGAUGUUUUGUAGGUACCGCAUGAAUAAGGACCGGCUAAUUCCGUGCCAGCAGCCGCGGUAAUACGGAAGGUCCGGGCGUUAUCCGGAUUUAUUGGGUUUAAAGGGUGCGCAGGCGGAAGAUCAGUUCAGCGGUAAAAUUGGGGGGCUCACCCUCUUCGAGCCGUUGAAACUGGUUUUCUUGAGUGAGCGAGAAGUAUGCGGAAUGCGUGGUGUAGCGGUGAAAUGCAUAGAUAUCACGCAGAACUCCGAUUGCGAAGGCAGCAUACCGGCGCGCAACUGACGCUCAUGCACGAAAGCGUGGGUAUCGAACAGGAUUAGAUACCCCAGUA
RNAcentral lists this ribosomal RNA (464 nucleotides) under uncultured bacterium. RNAcentral describes it as "bacterial SSU rRNA". It matches the Rfam family "Bacterial small subunit ribosomal RNA", at positions 330 to 792 of the family's 1533-position model. The record is from RNAcentral.